Molecule: small nuclear RNA, 122 nt
Organism: Achroia grisella
Lineage: Eukaryota; Metazoa; Arthropoda; Insecta; Lepidoptera; Pyralidae
Product: U5 spliceosomal RNA
Exons: 1
Source: RefSeq, a predicted model, not a curated record
UUAGGUAGGUUUCCCUUAAAAACGCAUAAAUCUUUCGCCUUUCACUAAAGAUUUCCGUGGAAGAGAACACUCAAAGGUUCAACCUACCUACACAUUAUAUUGGUACUUUCUUAGUAAAAAUA